GAUGAACGCUGGCGGCGUGCCUAAUACAUGCAAGUCGAGCGAACGGACGAGAAGCUUGCUUCUCUGAUGUUAGCGGCGGACGGGUGAGUAACACGUGGAUAACCUACCUAUAAGACUGGGAUAACUUCGGGAAACCGUAGCUAAUACCGGAUAAUAUUUUGAACCGCAUGGUUCAAAAAUGAAAGACGGUCUUGCUGUCACUUAUAGAUGGAUCCGCGCUGCAUUAGCUAGUUGGUAAGGUAACGGCUUACCAAGGCAACGAUGCAUAGCCGACCUGAGAGGGUGAUCGGCCACACUGGAACUGAGACACGGUCCAGACUCCUACGGGAGGCAGCAGUAGGGAAUCUUCCGCAAUGGGCGAAAGCCUGACGGAGCAACGCCGCGUGAGUGAUGAAGGUCUUCGGAUCGUAAAACUCUGUUAUUAGGGAAGAACAUAUGUGUAAGUAACUGUGCACAUCUUGACGGUACCUAAUCAGAAAGCCACGGCUAACUACGUG
RNAcentral lists this ribosomal RNA (497 nucleotides) under uncultured bacterium. RNAcentral describes it as "partial 16S ribosomal RNA". It matches the Rfam family "Bacterial small subunit ribosomal RNA", at positions 28 to 507 of the family's 1533-position model. The record is from RNAcentral.